RNAcentral lists this ribosomal RNA (240 nucleotides) under uncultured bacterium. Its description in RNAcentral is "partial 16S ribosomal RNA". It matches the Rfam family "Bacterial small subunit ribosomal RNA", at positions 57 to 305 of the family's 1533-position model. The record is from RNAcentral.
GCAAGUCGAACGAGAAAGUGUCUUCGGACACGAGUACAGUGGCGAACGGGUGAGUAACGCGUAAGAAUCUACCUAUUAGUGAAGGAUACCAUCGAGAAAUCGGUGUUAAUACUGCAUACGACCUAAGGGUGAAAGGAGGCCUCUUGCUUCCGCUGAUAGAUGAGCUUGCGUAGUAUUAGUUAGUUGGUGAGGUAAUGGCUUACCAAGACGAUGAUGCUUAGCCGGCCUGAGAGGGUGAUC